CCUACGGGAUGCAGCAGUGGGGAAUAUUGCACAAUGGGGGAAACCCUGAUGCAGCGACGCCGCGUGAGUGAAGAAGUAUUUCGGUACGUAAAGCUCUAUCAGCAGGGACGAAAAUGACGGUACCUGACUAAGAAGCCCCGGCUAACUACGUGCCAGCAGCCGCGGUAAUACGUAGGGGGCAAGCGUUAUCCGGAUUUACUGGGUGUAAAGGGAGCGUAGACGGCAGCGCAAGUCUGGAGUGAAAUCCCAUGGCUUAACCAUGGAACUGCUUUGGAAACUGUGCAGCUAGAGUGCAGGAGAGGUAAGCGGAAUUCCUAGUGUAGCGGUGAAAUGCGUAGAGAUUAGGAGGAACACCAGUGGCGAAGGCGGCUUACUGGACUGUAACUGACGUUGAGGCUCGAAAGCGUGGGGAGCAAACAGGAUUAGAUACCCUGGUAGUC
RNAcentral lists this ribosomal RNA (440 nucleotides) under uncultured bacterium. Its description in RNAcentral is "partial 16S ribosomal RNA". It matches the Rfam family "Bacterial small subunit ribosomal RNA", at positions 338 to 795 of the family's 1533-position model. The record is from RNAcentral.